Molecule: ribosomal RNA, 158 nt
Filed under: Peziza varia
Lineage: Eukaryota; Fungi; Ascomycota; Pezizomycetes; Pezizales; Pezizaceae
Description: 5.8S ribosomal RNA
Rfam family: 5.8S ribosomal RNA
About the family: 5.8S ribosomal RNA (5.8S rRNA) is a component of the large subunit of the eukaryotic ribosome. It is transcribed by RNA polymerase I as part of the 45S precursor that also contains 18S and 28S rRNA. Functionally, it is thought that 5.8S rRNA may be involved in ribosome translocation.
Source: RNAcentral
AAACUUUCAACAACGGAUCUCUAGGCUCUUGCAUCGAUGAAGAACGCAGUGAAAUGCGAUACGUAAUGUGAAUUGCAGAAUCUCGUGAAUCAUUGAAUCUUUGAACGCACAUUGCGCCCUAUGGUAUUCCGUAGGGCAUGCCUGUCUGAGCGUCAGCU